This 488-nucleotide ribosomal RNA is filed under the name uncultured Pasteurellaceae bacterium. Its description in RNAcentral is "partial 16S ribosomal RNA". The record is from RNAcentral. Lineage: Bacteria; Pseudomonadati; Pseudomonadota; Gammaproteobacteria; Pasteurellales; Pasteurellaceae.
CACGGAGUUAGCCGGUGCUUCUUCUGUAUUUAACGUCAAUAAUGUAUGCUAUUAACAUACACUCCUUCCUCAAUACCGAAAGAACUUUACAACCCGAAGGCCUUCUUCAUUCACGCGGCAUGGCUGCGUCAGGGUUCCCCCCAUUGCGCAAUAUUCCCCACUGCUGCCUCCCGUAGGAGUCUGGACCGUGUCUCAGUUCCAGUGUGGCUGGCCAUCCUCUCAGACCAGCUAGAGAUCGCAGGCUUGGUAGGCCUUUACCCCACCAACUACCUAAUCCCACUUGGGCUCAUCUCAUGGCAUGCGGCCUUGCGGUCCCGCACUUUCGCUCUCGACACUACGCGGUAUUAGCUACAGUUUCCCGUAGUUAUCCCCCUCCAUAAGCCAGAUUCCCAAGCAUUACUCACCCGUCCGCCACUCGUCAGCAAGAAGCAAGCUUCCUCCUGCUACCGUUCGACUUGCAUGUGUUAAGCCUGCCGCCAGCGUUCAAU